UACGUAGGGGGCUAGCGUUGUCCGGAAUCAUUGGGCGUAAAGAGCGUGUAGGCGGCCCGGUAAGUCCGCUGUGAAAGUCGGGGGCUCAACCCUCGAAUGCCGGUGGAUACUGUCGGGCUAGAGUGCGGAAGAGGCGAGUGGAAUUCCUGGUGUAGCGGUGGAAUGCGCAGAUAUCAGGAGGAACACCAACGGCGAAGGCAGCUCGCUGGGACGGUACUGACACUAAGGCGCGAAAGCGUGGGGAGCGAACAGG
Molecule: ribosomal RNA, 253 nt
Filed under: uncultured bacterium
Lineage: Bacteria
Description: partial 16S ribosomal RNA
Rfam family: Bacterial small subunit ribosomal RNA
Source: RNAcentral